GGCUGGGUUGGAAUACAGCAAGUGAGCUGCUGAACUUCUACACUGGUGUCCACAACCAAUCUCUUGAUGUACUUUGUUGAAAUACUUUAUUUUUUGUAGAAUUUUUUUUUUUAUGUUUCAUUGGCACUGACCAAGCGUGCUCGACUGAUUGGGAUUUCCCCCCUUCAAUCAAAAAUGUUUCAAAAAUGGAACACUGACUGAUGUUCCGUUUUUGUGCUCCCGUUGAAAAUCUGAAAGCAGGUAAGCCACUGACUAACGCACAUUGCGCAAAUACCCAGUUCCACUGUGCGUGUGACAGCGGCUAACCAGCUUUUGGGGGUUCUUCAGAGCUCCUGACGUGGGAGCGCACAGUCCAGAGAGGGAAGGCCCCGAGUGAGACGUGCCGGAUCCACUGUACAGUAUCUGUGUCUGAGUAAAGUCAAUUCAUUUGGGGAGUCACAUCCCAGUUGCUAUUGGUCAUUGUCUGUUGGCCUACUUUGUUGAUUACAAUGUCGUGAACUGACUUAUGUGAACACUGAAUUAUGUUUAAAUAAUUUAAAAACAACUGUUAAUAGAACACAUGGGUUUAGAUGUAUGGAUUUAUUGUGCUACACAUUAAACAUACACUUAAAUAAA
Long non-coding RNA from Alosa sapidissima (American shad), 615 nucleotides. RefSeq lists it as uncharacterized. Lineage: Eukaryota; Metazoa; Chordata; Actinopteri; Clupeiformes; Clupeidae. The transcript is spliced from 2 exons. The record is from RefSeq and is a predicted model, not a curated record.